UGCAGUCGAGCGGUAGCACAGAGAGCUUGCUCUCGGGUGACGAGCGGCGGACGGGUGAGUAAUGUCUGGGAAACUGCCUGAUGGAGGGGGAUAACUACUGGAAACGGUAGCUAAUACCGCAUAACGUCGCAAGACCAAAGUGGGGGACCUUCGGGCCUCAUGCCAUCAGAUGUGCCCAGAUGGGAUUAGCUAGUAGGUGGGGUAAUGGCUCACCUAGGCGACGAUCCCUAGCUGGUCUGAGAGGAUGACCAGCCACACUGGAACUGAGACACGGUCCAGACUCCUACGGGAGGCAGCAGUGGGGAAUAUUGCACAAUGGGCGCAAGCCUGAUGCAGCCAUGCCGCGUGUAUGAAGAAGGCCUUCGGGUUGUAAAGUACUUUCAGCGAGGAGGAAGGCGUUAAGGUUAAUAACCUUGGCGAUUGACGUUACUCGCAGAAGAAGCACCGGCUAACUCCGUGCCAGCAGCCGCGGUAAUACGGAGGGUGCAAGCGUUAAUCGGAAUUACUGGGCGUAAAGCGCACGCAGGCGGUCUGUCAAGUCGGAUGUGAAAUCCCCGGGCUCAACCUGGGAACUGCAUUCGAAACUGGCAGGCUAGAGUCUUGUAGAGGGGGGUAGAAUUCCAGGUGUAGCGGUGAAAUGCGUAGAGAUCUGGAGGAAUACCGGUGGCGAAGGCGGCCCCCUGGACAAAGACUGACGCUCAGGUGCGAAAGCGUGGGGAGCAAACAGGAUUAGAUACCCUGGUAGUCCACGCCGUAAACGAUGUCGACUUGGAGGUUGUGCCCUUGAGGCGUGGCUUCCGGAGCUAACGCGUUAAGUCGACCGCCUGGGGAGUACGGCCGCAAGGUUAAAACUCAAAUGAAUUGACGGGGGCCCGCACAAGCGGUGGAGCAUGUGGUUUAAUUCGAUGCAACGCGAAGAACCUUACCUGGUCUUGACAUCCACAGAACUUUCCAGAGAUGGAUUGGUGCCUUCGGGAACUGUGAGACAGGUGCUGCAUGGCUGUCGUCAG
This 1010-nucleotide ribosomal RNA is filed under the name Klebsiella aerogenes. RNAcentral's name for it is "bacterial SSU rRNA". It matches the Rfam family "Bacterial small subunit ribosomal RNA", at positions 56 to 1058 of the family's 1533-position model. The record is from RNAcentral. Lineage: Bacteria; Pseudomonadati; Pseudomonadota; Gammaproteobacteria; Enterobacterales; Enterobacteriaceae.